RNAcentral lists this ribosomal RNA (459 nucleotides) under uncultured bacterium. Its description in RNAcentral is "partial 16S ribosomal RNA". It matches the Rfam family "Bacterial small subunit ribosomal RNA", at positions 29 to 507 of the family's 1533-position model. The record is from RNAcentral.
AGCGAACGCUGGCGGCAGGCCUAACACAUGCAAGUCGAACGAACCUUUCGGGGUUAGUGGCGGACGGGUGAGUAACACGUGGGAACGUGCCUUUAGGUUCGGAAUAACUCAGGGAAACUUGUGCUAAUACCGAAUGUGCCCUUCGGGGGAAAGAUUUAUCGCCUUUAGAGCGGCCCGCGUCUGAUUAGCUAGUUGGUUGAGGUAAUGGCUCACCAAGGCGACGAUCAGUAGCUGGUCUGAGAGGAUGAUCAGCCACAUUGGGACUGAGACACGGCCGAGACUCGGGCGGGAGGCGGCAAGAGGGACUCUUGCGCAAUGGGCGAAAGCGGGACGGAGAAAAGCAGCGGGAGUGAUGAAGGUCUUCGGAUCGUAAAACACUGUUAUGAGGGAAGACGAAAUGGGUAAGUAACUAUGCACGUCUUGACGGUAGCUAAUCAGAAAGCGACGGCUCACUACGUG